RNAcentral lists this ribosomal RNA (266 nucleotides) under uncultured prokaryote. Its description in RNAcentral is "partial 16S ribosomal RNA". It matches the Rfam family "Bacterial small subunit ribosomal RNA", at positions 524 to 789 of the family's 1533-position model. The record is from RNAcentral.
UACGUAGGUGGCGAGCGUUGUCCGGAUUUACUGAACGUAAAGGGAGCGUAGGCGGACUUUUAAGUGAGAUGUGAAAUACCCGGGCUCAACUUGGGUGCUGCAUUUCAAACUGGAAGUCUAGAGUGCAGGAGAGGAGAAUGGAAUUCCUAGUGUAGCGGUGAAAUGCGUAGAGAUUAGGAAGAACACCAGUGGCGAAGGCGAUUCUCUGGACUGUAACUGACGCUGAGGCUCGAAAGCGUGGGGAGCAAACAGGAUUAGAUACCCGU